UCUUAGGUAGUAUAGUGGUUAGUAUUCGUGCCUGUCGCGCACGAGACCGGGGUUCAAUUCUCUCGCCUGCGAG
RNAcentral lists this transfer RNA (73 nucleotides) under Sphaerobolus stellatus SS14. Its description in RNAcentral is "tRNA-Asp (GTC) (tRNA-Asp-GTC-22-1)". It matches the Rfam family "tRNA". Rfam says of the family: Transfer RNA (tRNA) molecules are approximately 80 nucleotides in length. Their secondary structure includes four short double-helical elements and three loops (D, anti-codon, and T loops). The record is from RNAcentral. Lineage: Eukaryota; Fungi; Basidiomycota; Agaricomycetes; Geastrales; Sphaerobolaceae.